Molecule: long non-coding RNA, 153 nt
Organism: Phyllostomus discolor (pale spear-nosed bat)
Lineage: Eukaryota; Metazoa; Chordata; Mammalia; Chiroptera; Phyllostomidae
Exons: 3
Source: RefSeq, a predicted model, not a curated record
UUUCUGAAUACAGGUCUUUUACCUCUUUGGUUAGGUUUAUUCCUAGGUAUUUUAUUUUUCUUUUUGCUAUUUCAAAUGGGAUUUUUUUUCUUGAUUUCUGCUUCUGCUGAUUCACUAUUGGUAUACAGAAAUGCCUGUGAUUUCUGGUAUUGA